GACGAACGCUGGCGGCGUGCUUAACACAUGCAAGUCGAACGAAGUGGCGAACGGGUGAGUAACGCGUAAUCAACCUGCCCUUCAGAGGGGGACAACAGUUGGAAACGACUGCUAAUACCGCAUACGGAAGGAGGGGAUUGCGUCGGCUUGGCUGGUUGGAGGGGUAACGGCCCACCAAGGCGAUGAUCAGUAGCCGGGCUGAGAGGAGGGACGGCCACAUUGGGACUGAGACACGGCCCAGACUCCUACGGGAGGCAGCAGUGGGGAAACUUCCGCAAUGGACGAAAGUCUGACGGAGCAACGCCGCGUGAGUGAUGACGGCCUUCGGGUUGGAAAGCUCUGUUAAUCGGGACGCGGUACCGGAAUAGAAAGCCACGGCUAACUACGUGCCAGCAGCCGCGGUAAUAC
This 408-nucleotide ribosomal RNA is filed under the name uncultured bacterium. RNAcentral's name for it is "partial 16S ribosomal RNA". It matches the Rfam family "Bacterial small subunit ribosomal RNA", at positions 28 to 526 of the family's 1533-position model. The record is from RNAcentral.